UUCGGGAGCCGUCACAGGUGCUGCAUGGCUGUCGUCAGCUCGUGUCGUGAGAUGUUCGGUUAAGUCCGGUAACGAGCGCAACCCUCGCCGUCAGUUACAAGUGUCUGGCGGGACUGCCCGUUGAACGCGGGAGGAAGGUGGGGAUGACGUCAAGUCAGCAUGGCCUUUAUGUCCAGGGCUACACACACGCUACAAUGGCCGGCACAGAGGGUCGCCAACCCGCGAGGGGGAGCCAAUCCAAGAAAGCCGGUCUCAGUUCGGAUUGCAGGCUGCAACCCGCCUGCAUGAAGUCGGAGUUGCUAGUAAACGCGCAUCAGCUAUGGCGCGUUGAAUACGUUCCCGGGCCUU
Molecule: ribosomal RNA, 348 nt
Filed under: uncultured Anaerolineaceae bacterium
Lineage: Bacteria; Bacillati; Chloroflexota; Anaerolineae; Anaerolineales; Anaerolineaceae
Description: bacterial SSU rRNA
Rfam family: Bacterial small subunit ribosomal RNA
Source: RNAcentral